GACGAACGCUGGCGGCGCGCUUAACACAUGCAAGUCGAGCGAGAACCAGGGCUUCGGCCCUGGGGAAAGCGGCGAACGGGUGAGUAACACGUGAGUAACCUGUCCUCGGCACCGGGGAUAGCCCGGGGAAACCCGGAUUAAUACCGGAUGGCCUUUCGAGUCUUCGGGCUCGUCAGAAAAGGGAGCUUCGGCCUCCGGCCGAGGAGGGACUCGCGGCGGAUUAGCUUGUUGGUGGGGUAACGGCUCACCAAGGCGACGAUCCGUAGCUGGUCUAAGAGGACGAUCAGCCACACUGGGACUGAGACACGGCCCAGACUCCUACGGGAGGCAGCAGUGGGGAAUCUUGCGCAAUGGGCGAAAGCCUGACGCAGCGACGCCGCGUGCGGGAAGAAGGCCUCGGUGUAACG
Molecule: ribosomal RNA, 407 nt
Filed under: uncultured bacterium
Lineage: Bacteria
Description: bacterial SSU rRNA
Rfam family: Bacterial small subunit ribosomal RNA
Source: RNAcentral